AUAAUUAGUAACUCCGAAUCUCUGGAAUCUCAGGAGAACCUUGCUGGAUCCCACCUCUCCAGCUCAUGACUCCUGGUCCUAGUCCCUGAUAUAGCAGAAAACAAGCUUGCUGUCUCUACUCCACACAUGACGUUCCUCCGACAUCUAAAAAUGAUGGCCACUGAUGGUCACCUCUUAACCUUCUCUUUACCAAACUAGAUAUACCCAGCUCUCUAUAUAAGAGACCCAAUAUUUGACUGCAACAGGACAGCAAAGCCAGCCCCUCAGCCAUAUCUUAUGGAAACAAACGAGAAACAAUGAAGUGAAAAGAAAAAUCCCUCUGAGGCGUCUUCCGCACAUGCAGAAUAAUGAACUUUCAAUCCACUUUCAAUGCACUUUGAAGCUGUGCAGAAUAGCAAAAUCCACUUGCAAACAGUUGUGAAAGUGGAUUGAAAGUGCAUAUUAUACUGCAUGGGCGAAAGGGGCCCAUGAGAGUCUUCAGUGAGCUGGCUAAGACCAGAGUCUCUUUCAACUUCUGUGGUUCCCUGAAUGGCCCUCCCUUGCUGUCUGUCAUAAUCAGUGGUGGGAUUCUAAUAAUUUAACAACCAGUUCCGCUGGUGGGAUUCAAAUAAUUUAACAACUGGUUGCUUACAAGUUCUUUACAAGUUACAAGUUACAUUUUAACAACCGGUUCUGCUGAAGUGGUGCGAACCUGUUGAAUCCCACCAUUGGUCAUAAUAUAAUCUGAGCUGUAAAGUAACCUGCAGGCACUGAGUCGCCUCCAGACGAAAGAGGUAGUUUCCAACAAUUAUUAUUAUUUAUUAAUUUUCGUAUACUAUCCAACCCCUGAAGCCUCCAAAGGGCUACAGGAAGCUGCACUGGGUAGAGGUCCGCGGGAAAGUUGAUUUCAGCAAGCAUCGCACUUCUUGUGUUGCACAGGAGCAUCCGUUCCCAGUUUUAUGCCAUCUUUCCAGAAUCUCUGCAAGCAAGGAUAGCUUUGUUGAAAGUGCCAUGUCUUUUGGCUGGGAUAGCAGUUCUGAUUUGAAUGGCCUAUUCUCAAUGGGGAAAAAAAGACUGACAACAGUAGAAUUUGAGUGGGAAUAGCAGAGUGGGAAUAGUCGGAAUAGCAGAGCAACGGAAGGACUCCUUCGUGAAAGGGACGCACAAAAUGAUAAAAGGUUAAAGUGAGGAAACAGGCCGGCAGGGAGAAAAACAGGAUGUAGCAUAAUGGAGGAAAGCCAAAGGAGGCAAAGAAAGAACUUUAAAUAUUCUAUGCUUUAUAUUUAUAAUCUCUUAUCAGUGACUGGAUUCCUCCAGUCUCUUUAUUAAAAUUCAUUGCUUUUUAAACUCACUGUUCAGUGUCUGGUCGUUCAGUCGAUGUUUAUUGAAGGAAAACAGCCAGCGGCCUGCGUUUAGUGGCAAGCGUCAAAUUCGGAGAUAGCUUCUUUGAUAAAAUAAAUCCACACUUUCUAGGUAGAAGAAAUCUGGGCUGGAAUAACUCUGCCUAGAAUAGUACGGCAAAUUGCAUAGACUGCGGCUCCAAUUCCGAGAACCCUUUCACGGGUGUAAGUCCUACUGAAUAAAGUGGGACUUACUUCUGGGCAGGGCUUCUUCAGCCCUAGCCCUAGCCCUAACCCUAACCCUAACCCGUAUCCAGGCCCAACAGUGCCUCAUCCUAAAAAGAGGUACACCCACAGAACUCCAUGGAAAUCAGCGGGCUUAGAAGGGACUAACUCUGCUAAGGAGGAGGUUGUUGGGAGUUUGUUAUGUCACGUCAGCUUAACAGGAUAGACUGAGGAAAUAAUGUUCUUGUGUAACAAGGAUUUAAUGCACAAUUUCAACAUGUCCAAUCGGGUUUCAUGAUAAGAAUGAGUGCAAACGAUUGUGGGGGUUUUGUGAUCAUGGACAGAUCUAGGUAGGCUUGCCAACUCCAGGAUGGAAAAUUCCUGGAGAUUUUUGUGGGGAUGGAUCCUGUGGAGGCCAGAGUUUGGGAAUGGGAGGGCCAUAGUUUGAAGACCCCUGCUAUGGAGUGUCACCCUCCAAAGCAGCCAUUUUGUCCUGGGGAAAUGAUCUCAGUAGACCAGGUGUCGGUUAUAAUCCCAGGAGAUCUUCAGACCCCACCUGAAGUUGGCAUCCUUCACAGUAGGCUGACAAGGACAGACGUGUUCAUGAUUCUGAUCCUUUUUUAUUUCUAUUUUUCUACUCUUUUCAAAUCAUCUUUGAUUACCUUUUUCGGCUUUUUUUAAAAAAAAUUCAUAAAAUUAAAAUGCAUCAUGACAGAUAAAGUAAUAUGUGAAACUUGCUUACCUGUUCUAACACCUGAACUUACAACUUUUUAAAUCCCAUUUGGCACUUGCAUAACUUGACUUCAUUUCCUUUCCCUUCCUCUCCGUAUUCUCCUUCCGAUUUCUGUUUAAAGCCAUUCACAGUACAAUCCUAAACAGAGUACACCCUUCUAGCCCCUUUAACUUCAUUGGGUUUAGAAAGGUGUAACCAGUGGCGGGAUUCAAAUAAUUUAACAACCGGUUCCGGUGGUGGGAUUCAAAUAAUUUAAUAACUGGUUGUUUACAAGCGCCGUUUUAACAACCGGUUCUGCCGAAGCGGCGUGAACCGGCUGAAUCCCACCACUGGGUGUAACUCACUUUCAGAUUAUAGUUUAAGUAUGCAUAGAAGUGAACUGUUGGUCAUUUUUUCUCUGACUGCAAGUAAAACAACUCGGGCUUUGGUUUUGUGGGGAGCUUUUUGGUGGCAAAUUCUUAUGUACUGUUGCAGUUCUAAUCUGUGGAUGGUGGAUUCGUUUUAGACCAAAACGUUUAAACAGGGUUCUGAAUUUUUUUUCUGUUAACAUCUGGCUCGCAUGCCCAGCAGCUGGUGAGAUUUGUAUGUAUAUGAAAGAUUACUCCAUAGCCCACUUUGUAAGAUGUAUGGACUAAUGCGAAUCUUCUGUCCAAAGGUGUGUUUGAGAAUGUAUAAUUAAAUGUCUGGAUUUUAAAAAGAAAAGACAACUGUAUUUGAAAUUGAAAAUGGGAACGACGUACCCAGAUGCUUGGGGGAGAAGCUAUUUCUUCUUUUUUUUUGCAUUUCUUAUGUAAUCUGUUUCUAUUCAUGAGUGUAACAAAUGCUUUGUAUUUGUGUUAAUCACAAUAAAAGGACAUAAAAUGAA
Sphaerodactylus townsendi is the source of this 3142-nucleotide long non-coding RNA. RefSeq lists it as uncharacterized. The transcript has 2 exons. The record is from RefSeq and is a predicted model, not a curated record. NCBI's taxonomy places the organism in Eukaryota, Metazoa, Chordata, Lepidosauria, Squamata, Sphaerodactylidae.